UGUGGCUGAAGCAUGAUGCCCAUGGAGAAGUGUGAAACGAGGCUGGAGAAACAGAAAGGUAAACUCAUAGAUUUAGAUCUGGAAGAGACCUUAGUGAACUUUUAGGGAGUCAUUGAGUAGCAAAGAACCUUGAGUGCCAUGAUAAUGAAUAUCACUGGAAAGGCAAUGAAAGGGCUCUGGGGGAAAAAUUGGGUAAAAUAGCCAGAUCUUCAAGUAAGGAAAACUGAUCUGGUUGCAAUAUGGAAGCUGGAGAAGAGGCUGAGAAACCAUCUAGAAGAUGACUGAAAGAGUGGAAACUAGGGUUUUGCAUGGUGGUAUUGUGACUAUAAGCAAAGGAACAGAUUCUUCAGUCAUCAUUUUAAACUCCUGUUCUUCCAGGUCUCUUGUUUUUGUUUUUAAAUUUUUUUUCAAUUGUGAGGCAUUUGUUUUCUUCUUUCCUCUUGCCUCCUCCAUCCCUCCACUGAAAGAAAAUAAACAAAACAAAACCCUUAUAAUAAAUAUUCUUAGUUUAUCAGGGAAAAUUCCUAUAUUGGUCAAGUCCAAAUGUAUGUUUUUAUUCUGCAUGAUAGGUCCAUAACUUAUCUCCUGAUUUCUUUAUUUUCAUUAUGGGCCUUCUGCUGUAAUAUGUUAGCUAUUGUUAUUAUUCUAGCCUUCCAAAUAUGUGCCUCAGAUUGUUCUUUUGUGAUUAUUUUUUUUCCCUUUUGCAAAAAAUAUUUGGUGGGAUGGGUUUGGGGGAUUAUAGAUUGUUGGAAGAAGGGGAAGAGGAAGUUGUUUCUUAAAGCCCCUGACUAUGGUAUUUCUAAUGGAUUAUGCUAUAUAACACUCUCAGUUACCCCUGCUAAGGCCCUUUCUGUCAGUUCUUUCUGUAAUAUUGCAUACUUCCCUCUAGAUAAAGUAAGUUAGGGAACUAGCCUUUUGCUUUAGCUGUUAUUUAUGCAAUGGAAGUUGGCAGAAUAGGACAAUGGAACAGAGGAGUGGCUAUGCAUUUAAUUCUUAUUUUCUCUCUCAUCAAGAAAGGGGAGAGAAGCCCAGACGAGUAAUUUGGGGAGAGGCCUCUCCCUAGGCAUUUACAAGUCUGGUAUUUCUGGUGGAAACUGAAUUUUAAGGCAGACUAUUGGUGAUAAGCUGGAGAAAUAAGUAAAAGGAAUAAGAGAGUGGUCUGUGAAUGGAAACUUUGUUCUCCUAGAUUCUCUGAUACUGUGUGUGUGUUUUAGUAAAUAAUUACUAAUCAGUCCCAAAGAGAUACUAAAGAAGGGAAAGAGACCUGUGCCAAAAUGUUUGUGGCAGCCCUGUUUGUAGUGGCUAGAAACUGGAAAAUGAAUGGAUGCCCAUCAAUUGGAGAAUGGUUGGGUAAAUUGUGGUAUAUGAAUGUUGUGGAAUGUUAUUGUUCUGUAAGAAAUGACCAGCAGGAUGAAUACAGAGAGGCUUGGAGAGACUUACAUGAACUGAUGCUAAGUGAAAUGAGCAGAACCAGGAGAUCAUUAUACACUUCAACAACGAUACUGUUUGAGGAAGUAUUCUGAUGGAAGUGGAUUUCUUCAACAAAGAGAAGAUCUAACUCAGUUUCAGUUGAUCGAUGAUGGACAGAAGCAGCUACACCCAAAGAAAGAACAUUGGGAAAUGAAUGUAAACUGUUUGCAUUUUUGUUUUUCUUCCCGGGUUAUCUUUACCUUCUGAAUCCAAUUCUUCCUGUGCAAUAAGAGAACUGUUUGGUUCUGCACACAUAUAUUGUAUCUAGGAUAUACUGUGACAUAUUUAACAUGUAUAGGACUGCUUGCCAUCUGGGGGAGGGGAAAAAUCGGAACAGAAGUGGGAGUGCAAGCUUCAUGGAAAAAUAUGUAGUCAUAACACACUAUAAAGUGUAAAAACAUUAUUAAUAAUUUCUCCAUCACUUUAUUAAGAUCAGGCAAGCCACAAAACAAUAAAUUAAGCCUUGAUUUUGUAAUUUUUUGGGUCAGUUUCCAAGGCAUAAAUGCUUGCACUAAAAAUUUAACAACUGGAACUCCUCCACAUGUGAUAAAUGUAGCAGCUUUUUGUGGUAGCAAAGAAGUGGAAAUUGAAUAGAUGCCCAUCAGUUGGGAAAUGGCUGAACAAGCUAUGGUAUUUAAAGGUAACAGAAUAUUAAUGUUCUAAAAAAAGUGUUGAACAAACUGAUUUUAGAAAGGCCUGGACAGAUUUAUAAGAACUGAUGCUGAGCAAAACAAGCAGAACCAGGAUACAUUGUACACGGGAACAGUAAGAAUGUGCUGCUCAAUGAUUCAGUGAUCCAAAGCAAUCCCAAUAGACUUUGGACAGAAGAUGCCGUCUGUAUCCAGAAAAGAAAAAAAAAAAAAAAAAAAAAAAAAACUAAGGAGACUGACUGUAAAUCAAUAUAUUCACUUUUUUAAAAAAUCUCUUCCAUGGUUUUUCCCUUUUGUUCUGAUUUUUCUCUCCCUAAUAUGAUUCAGAGCAAUGUGUAUUAAAACAAAUAAAUUUACAAAAAGUUAAAAAAAACACCAAAUAAUUGGCAUUCCUGGCUAGUUAGAGCUAGCUCUAGUAUACACAUAUAUGUCUAUAUAUGUAUAAAUAUAUUCAUAUAAGUAUAUAUUUAUGGAAAUAUAUGUAUAUAUACUUAUAUGUGCAUAUAUCACAUUAUAUACACACAUGUUGUGAACUUGCAUAUACAGAUAAGUGUGUGCACGUAUUUCUAGCAGUCUUCAAAACUAUCACUGGGGAAAUAAAUCCUAUGAAGGGGCCAGCCAUCCUCACUCCUACUAACCUAUCUCCAUGCACAGGACAAGGCAGAUAUCCUGAGGGAGAGACAAGAGGCAGCCUCAAUCCACUCAAGUCAAAUAACCAUCAUCAUUAUUUCCUCUCUAACUUUGAUGGAAACAAUCUGGAACCUUGAUGCCCCUUUUGUCCCCCCAAAAUAAUACCAGCUUUCUUUCAGUCCAGCCCCCACAACCAUUAAUGAGGGGAGAAAUCAUUAUAGAAAUUAUGAGGAAGGCUCACUUUGUUCCUCACCACUGGCAAUAACUGCUGACCAACUGCCAUCACCAGCCAUUUAAGUACAGGAGUCUUGAGAAAAGUUGAUGCAUUUCCUGGACUACCAUGAGUCCUUCCUUUCAACCCAACUCUCACAGCCAUGCUCCAGGGAAACAAACCCAGUGAAAAAGGGAACUGGUCAUUUUCACCAACUGCCAUCCAAAGCAGCAAGGCACCCAGAGGGAGAGACAGCCUGGCCAGGGCCAUGUAUCUUCAUGGGAAACAGCCGUUAUGGGGAUGCAGCUUGGAGACUUGUCCAUCAGAUGCCACGGCCACAGUUCUUGAAGACCAGAAAAGAAAGUUCUUGCCACCCAGGCUUUGCCAUCAGCAGAUACUUCACCAUCAGAAGCCAAUGUGAUUUUUUCAUUAAAAGUGCAGUGAAACAAGAGGCUUUUGUCUACAUGACUGCUGCAUACUAAGGGUCUUCCUCUUUUAACAGUUCAUGGGCAUGCUUUGUCUCCUCAAUUAGAAUGUGAGCUGCUUACUUUGUGUCCCCAGUGCUUUGUCCUCAGUCCCCAAGUAUCAAGCACAUAGUAAGUGUUUAGUAAAUGCUUCAUUUAUUUAAAGUACUAGUUUCCCAUGUGAGCUUGGGCAAGUAACGUUCCCACAGGCCUCAUCUAAAAUGAGAGUGAAUCAUAGAACCUCUAAGAUCCCCCCUAAUCCUGCUUCUACAGUGACCCUCGGUAGCAGAAGAGCUGCAUAACCCACAUGUAAGGAAAGUCUGCAUGUGAAUACUGGCCCUCUGAGCUCCUUUGCUGCCUCCCUGUCACCUGACCUGCCAUUUUUCUGGUCUCUCUUUGAAUUUCUGUAGUGCUCCUGCCCUCUUUAUAACACAUAAUUCAACCUCUGAUCAUGUCUUUGUUCUCUAAUUGCUACUUAUUGUGUGCCCUCUCUGUGUGGCCUGUUAAGUUAUGUGGAAAUUCACUUUACAAAUCUGGAGUUCAUCUUCCUUAUUUUGUUGCUAUAAUGUAUAUAUAGCUUUAAGGUCAGCAAAAAGCCUUACAAAUAUCACCUCAUUAGAUUCUCACAACAACCCUGGGAAGUAGGUGAUUAUAUCCCAUUUUACAGAUGAGGGAACAGGCAGAAAGUAAGUGUCUGAAGCUGGAUUUGAACUCAGACCUUCCUGAUUCCAGGUCUAAUGAUGUCAUCACUGCACCCACCUAGAUACCUUUAUACUUUUUCCAAGAGAUAUGUUAAGAGAUCAAAUGAGCUAAUAACAAAUAGAUCUAAUAGAUUUAAUAAUAAAAGUAAAAUGAUAAAAAACUUUUUGCCUUUAAAUAAUUUCCAAGGUAAUUGUAAUUAUUAUGGCUUUUAUUAUUGACAACAAUAAUAAAAAUUAUAAGCACUAUUGUGUACUCCAGAAGUCCUCUACAUAAAUUUCAUGACAGACUGGAUAAAGAGAAUUAAGGGAGAGUCCAGCUAGUGCAAUAUAAGCCCAUCACUGUUUUUGGAGAAAAAACUCUCAAAGCCAUGUUCUUUUGACUAUCCGUAACCCUUUGUUUCCUCAGAUGUAAAAUGAGGGAGAGAAGAGGGUAGGGAAGGGAACAAGCAUUUAUGUAGCACCUACUGCAUGCCAGGAAUGUGCUAAAUGCUUUAAAAAUAUCUCAUUUAAUCAAAUAAAGUCAUUUAAAUCAUUUAAGCAAAAAUCAAACAAAUAUUUAAAUUAAUGGGGAUAAUAGUUGUAGUGCCUACUGCAAGUGGUUUUUAUGAGGCUCAAAUGAAUAUAUGUAGUAGGGGACCCAUACCAUUUUGGAACCUCUAUCUCAGAUGUGUUAUGGGAUGUGUCAAGUAAUCAAAAUGAACCACUUUAAUGAAUCACACACCUAGGCCAGCAUCUAAGGCAUCAUCUACCAAUAAACCAAGCAGAAACAUAAAUCAAAUAGCAAAGCAUUUAAUUAAGACAGAAGAGCAAAGUAAAUAACAAGGGAAAAUCAAGUCAUUGAAUCACUCUCAGACUCCCCAUACAUGAAGGGGUAUACUUUCUCACAGACUGCCACCCUGUUGGGAGAGGACCUACUCCCCAGAUGAUUAACACCCCUAAUGUUCUAGAAUACUUGUCAUGAUUCUACCUUGCAAGAACAGGUUGUGCCUUACUACUACAAUUUCGAUUAUUUCUAAAAUCAGAGCUAUCCAAAAGUGACUGGGCUGCCUCUGGAGAUCCUGGAUCCCUCACCGUAGUCUUCAAGCAGUGGGUAGAUAACCAUUUGUGGGUUAUAUUGUCGAGGGGAUUUUUUUUUUCCAGAAAAGGCUUUAUCUAGAUGGCCUCUAAGGUCUCUUCCCACUCAGAAUCUGUGAGUUUAUGAAGGCAAAGAUUUAUCUGG
This is a long non-coding RNA of Antechinus flavipes (yellow-footed antechinus), 5345 nucleotides long. RefSeq lists it as uncharacterized. The record is from RefSeq and is a predicted model, not a curated record. The transcript is spliced from 2 exons. Lineage: Eukaryota; Metazoa; Chordata; Mammalia; Dasyuromorphia; Dasyuridae.